GUUUUUUUCUUCAUUUUACUAAUAAUUCUGCUCUUGAGGUUAUUUGUCCAUUGUAUUCCCUGUGGAAAUACUACAUAUGUUGUAUGCAUCUCUUCCCAACUCUAUUCAGAAAUGUCACAUUGGUAGCACGAAAUUGGCUGUAAGGGGAGUAUUUACACCAUGGAAAUGGGCAAAUGCAGCAAGUCAGGGCGUGAUUUAUUGUUUUGUUGAUUUUUCUAGACCAUAUGUUAGCAAACCUUUUGUGUAAACAGCCAAAUAGUAAAUAUUUUAGGCUUUGUGGGACUUAUAGUCUCUGUCACAGCUACUCAGCUCUCACUGUAGUGCCAAAUGUGCCAAAGUAGCCAUAGACAAUACUUAAAGAAUGGGCAUGGGCCAGGUGCAGUGGCUCACACCUGUAAUCCCAGCACUUUGGGAGGCCCAGGCAGGGAUCACUUGAGGCCAGGAGUUAGAGACUAGCCUGGCCAACAUGGCAAAACCCUGUCUUUACAAACAAAUAAAAUAAACAGACAAAAAAGCUGGGUGUGGUGGUGUGUGCCUGUAAUCCCAGUUACCUGGGAGUGUGAAGUGGGAGGAUGCCUUGAGCCCAGGAGUUGGAGAUUGUAAUGAGCCGAGAUCACACCACUGCACUCCAGCCUGGGCGACAGAACAAGACCCUGUCUCAAACAAAAAACUCAUAGGCCUUUAUCUGAUAGUGAAGGGAACAAUAGAGUUGAAAGGGAAAAAUGGAGUAGAUACAGGCAAAUGUUUACAUACAUGAUACGGUGCAACAAGAAUAGCAGAACAUACUGCAAAAGAAAUUAUGUCAACAUAUUUAAGAAUCUUGGAAGAGAAUGGCAAAUAUGCACUAUAAUUGAUGAGACAUCUACAUAUUGGAAGAAAAUUACCUAGAGAUUUAUCUCCAGUACACAGUUGAAUAAGCUUCUGUACUGGUAAAGAUAUUUGUUGCUUUAAAAGAAUUGGUGUCAGCUGGGCACGGUGGCUCACGCCUAUAAUCCCAGCACUUUGGGAGGCUGAGGUGGGCAGAUCACAAGUGGGCGGAUCACGAGGUCAGAAGUUCGAGACCAGCCUGGACAUGGGUGGACAUGUACUUUACCAACCGCUAAUGCUGCAUGGCACACAUAUCCUACAUUAUAAAUGCAUUUUUC
This 1145-nucleotide long non-coding RNA is filed under the name Homo sapiens (human). RNAcentral describes it as "non-protein coding lnc-LARP4-5:1". The record is from RNAcentral. Lineage: Eukaryota; Metazoa; Chordata; Mammalia; Primates; Hominidae.